GCCGGUGUUUAUGGCGUAGAGGUUCCACCUGUUCCCAUUCCGAACACAGAAGUUAAGCUCUUCAGCGUAGACGAUACUUGGUUGGCGACGACCUGGGAAAUUAUAUCGAUGCCGGCA
RNAcentral lists this ribosomal RNA (117 nucleotides) under Ruminococcus sp. The record is from RNAcentral. Lineage: Bacteria; Bacillati; Bacillota; Clostridia; Eubacteriales; Oscillospiraceae.